CAAUUCAAAAUUUAAAUUUUCUAAUUGACCAAUCAAAGGCCUUGACACCUAAGCCUAGACACCUAGGAAUCCAUUCCUUAUGGCGUGUGGAUUGAAACCCAUCAAAAGGAAUUCAGCCGCAUGCCAUGAGUUGGAAUCUAGGUGGACUCCUUCUCGGGUACCAACAUCAAUAUGAAGUUCGGGAGACUCCUCAAAUGUCAUCUGAUGUCCAAAUUUCAUGUUCUUAUAGUCAUUGGAAAGCUACUGAUGUCUAAUUUCCAAAAAAAAUUGAAUCAACUUAAUCAGACUUCUAUAGCUUCCAAAAUAUUCAAAAUACCAUAUGGUGUUCAAUCUAUCACGGAUUUCAACUGGAUUUGAACUCUGNNNNNNNNNNNNNNNNNNNNNNNNNNNNNNNNNNNNNNNNNNNNNNUUUUGACAUGUGACCACUUCUAAUUAGCCAUGGACCCAUUCAUGCCUUGGACUCAAUCUAAUUGAUAUUGAAGAGGCUAACCCAUUGUGAAUCAAAUCACUUAUUGCAUGGACUCAAUCUAAUUUCAGCUUGGACUCAACUUUGCUUGGACUAAAAUUCUUUCCACUCCUUCACCCAAUGUCCCACGCCAUUAGAAUGAGGGUGGUGCUUCAUGGUUGGGCUUCAUCUCCACGCUCUCCCCAUGAUUCAAUUGGGCUCAACAUGAUUGAUAUUGGAACUCCUUGAACCCCAUGAAACUUGGUGCACACCCAAGAAGGGAACUCAAUCUCCAUGCCCAAGGGACUAGACCAAAUACUCCACGCCCAAGGAGGAUGCUCCUGCAUCAAUUCCCCCCUUCUAGGAAAAGACUCGACUCCGUCGACUUUCACAACUGAUAGAGCUUGUAGAAGUUCGGGUUCAGCUGUUGGACUUCCUCCAUCUUUAAUCAUGAGCGAUCUGAAAUUAGUCGGUCCUCCAAUAAAAAACUUCUGAUAUCCUCCUCGGUGGGUGGACACUAUCUGAACAACUAGGAUGUCUUCAAUAGUAUCCGUCGGGGCUGAUCGUUGAAGAAGUGAAGAUGGUACAGAUGGGAUGUCUUCAUCUUCAACAUAGUAAGCAUCGUAGGGCUGCAACUCUUCAACAUAUAAGAUGGGGCUAACCUGCAAAUUAUCUGGUAACUCGAGCACAAAGGCCUUGGAUCCCAUCCACUUCAGCACCUUGAAGAAUUCGACUUGGCAAGGUUGAAGCUUUUGAAAAUUUCUGUAUUCAACACUCAACCGCAUCAACACAAAGUUUGCUUCCUUGCGCAGGGUCGGCAAAUAGAACUUAUCCUCCACCAUGGUAACUGUUUUGACAUAGCCAAAGUGACCACCAAGGCCUCCGCCAUAGACCUCUCGAACAAUAUGAGCACAAAGUGAGGUCUCCAAGACACAUAAAAGAAAGCAAUCAUGGGUAGAAAAUUCUGAAUGCUGCCACCGAUCCACUGCUGAAACUUCUGCAUAUAUGGGCUGAAAAUAUACUUCAGAGGGGUACAAAAUUUUUAGAUUAGCAAACCCCAUUACCUCAACAUUCAAAAGAGUUAGAACAUAUGAAUUUUGACUGAGGGCAUCAGCAAUAAAAUCUUUUGCAUGUGGCCCAUGCUUCAGGAUUUGGCGACGAGGCUCCUCGUGUUCUUUUGGGUUCAACCAGCAUGCAGGAAAGUUCGGCAAGCUUGAUCUGGGCACCAAAUCUAUAGUGUGCUGGUUGUCUCUCAUGAGUGGAAGAUCCUUGGGGAGACUCUCAAGGGUUACAUUAGAGGAAUCAUCCAAUAUGGACUUGAAAUCAGGAGGAACAACUUCUGAAAUUUCAGCCCCAAUUUCCCUAGACAUUAGUGCAUACAUGACCCCAAUCUCUCGGCUACAAGCUUCAAACUUUCUCAUGGUUAAAACCCGUUGGAUUAUCAGAUUUUCAAAGGUAAAAUCAAUGAUCUGAAGGGACUUUAACACAACUCUUUUGUUGGCACAAUAUAGAGAAUAACAAUUAGAUCGACCAUCAUACUCGACACUACGAUCAUACAACCAAGGUCUUCCUAAAAGAAGAUGGCACGCUUUCAUGGACAGAACAUCGCACCAUACUUCAUCUCAAAAGUUCUUACCAAGUGAAAAAUUGAUCAAGCAUCUUUGUUUAACAAGGAUGGAGGAGUCUUCGAUCCAACUUACCCGAUACGGCUUUGGAUGCGGUAUCGAUUUCAGAUUCAGUUUUUUCAGCACUUCUUCGAAAAUGAUGUUCAUGCAGCUUCCAUUGUCAAUGAUGAGGUUUAGUGACUUGCUGGCAUACUCGAUGCGAGUUUGGAAGAUAUUGGUGCGCCUCCAAUCUUCCUCCACGUUCUCCUCUUGCUUGCAACCCGUAAGAACCCGCCGCACGACGCACACAGGUAGAUAUGAAGCUUCUAGCUCCACCGCCGGGGCUUCUUCAUCAUGUUCUUCGUUCCCUUCAUUUCCCUUUUCAUCAGUGGGCUGAGAGGGAGGAGUGACUUCAGAGGGUCCUAUGAUCUCAUCCUUCUCACAUACCAAUGCAAAUCAUUGGUCUCGGGUAGGACAAAUAAUGGCGAAAUGGCCUCGCCCGCCUCACUUGUAGCAUUCAACAAGAUUCUUCCCUUGCGGUGUGGAUUGUGGCAUAGGACCUUUACUUUUUUCAUUAGCCCUUGGAGCACCCCUUUCUUGAUAUGUGCUUCUAUUUACAGAGGUUUCAGAUCUGAAAGAAAGGGCGUUAACCUCGAGGAAAUGAAACUCCUCGGUUGGUGCUGCGCUCGAAAAAUCGUCGUACAACCGGUGCUUGCGCAGGGCGUCUUUGUCGUAGCUGCGAUUCAACUCGAAUGACAAUUUGGUAUGCCUCUUCUAGGCUGAAGAUGCGCGUCGCAUUAGCUCCCUCUUGAUGUCAUCCCUUAGCCCGGAUCGGUACCGAGUUAGGGACUGUCGAUCCGUCUCCGUGAGGUUGCUGCGGAUCAUCAACUCAUGGAAUCGGGCUGUAUACUCCUCUACGGAAGAGCUUCCUUGACAAAGUUUCAGAAGUUCUUCGAAGAGUGUCUCCUCAUAAUCAAGGGGAAGAAACUUUUCUUUCAAACGAAGUUUCAUCUCCUCCCAAUCAUUUAUAGGGGGCUGUCGGAGUCGAUGAAGCUUCUCUUCAACGCUAUGCCACCAUAUGCGUGCUUGGCCCUUGAGCUUCAUCUUCACGAAUCGCACCUUGGUUUCAUUGGGCAUGCUGAACCAUUCGAAGUAGUCUUCGAGAGACAUCAACCAAUCCUGGAAGUAGGUUGGGUCUAUGCUUCCACUGUAAUUAGUAACUUCUACACAAACCCGCUUCAUGACAUCGUCGAGAUCAUUGCACUCUCGCUGAUUUUGAUGAACAUAGGGGUUCCUGAAAUUAUUCCCCAUAUGAGGAAUGUUUGGAGGGGGCAUCCGCUGAUCCCUAGGUGGCCUUUGGGGUGAUAGACCCCCGAGGGAGAAUGCUUCAACAUCGGGGUCUCCUCCAAAUGGCACUUCUGAAUUUUCAGGUUGCGCGAGGACAGCAUGUUCAUCUUCAAGAUUGUUUGACUCGGGGAAGAGACGAUCCCAAACAACUUCCACCUUCUGAUUCAAGGCCACCACUUGCCGGAUGAGCUCGGCCAUCAUCUUAGCACGUGUCGUUCAUUUUUGUAGGGGCGACCACUUCUGGUACUCAUGGCGACAAGGAUUCACUCUGAUACCAAUUGACGCAAUCGGGGUGGGCUGCAGAUUUUUUUUCUUCUUUGAGGAUGGCUGAAUCUUUCUUCUUUUUUUUUUACCAAAGCAAUGGCAAUAGAGGCUAGGGUUCUUUGUGGUGGAAGGAAGGAGGAAGAAGAUGGGUUGCUGGAUGGGUGAGAUUGGGUUCGUGGGAUUCAACCAAGUGACUAGAAUUGGGCACCUAAUUGAGUGGCGGCUGAAAUUGGUUUGCACCUAAUGGGUUGGCCGGCUUGGAUUAUUUAGAGUCCUAUUGGGAUUAGGACUCAAGGAAGGACAUGGGAAGGGGUUGUGGCAUGAGGAAUACGGCUGGGGAGGCUGAUGUGGCACACAAGGAGGCGCACCUAAGGGAACAAGGCGUGAAACAAGGAAGAGAGAGAGUGGAUAAGGAUGAAUUAGUUUUGGAAAUCUCAUCCAAACUAAUUCAAACAUGGAAGGCAUGAAGGGGAGGCGUCCCACCUCUUCCUUCAGCCUCUUGGCAUUGUACCAAGCAAGAGACUUGCCCCUCCUCACGUUCACAAGGAAAAAUUUCAAAAUUCAAAACUAAUUUCAUUCAUCAUACCCUCCUUUAUAUAGAAAGAAAGGUUGGUAAAGGAUAAUGACUACACAGAAUUUUAAAUUGGACUCCUAAUCACAUGAGGACUCUUUUAAAAUUCAAAUCUUCUAAUUGACCAAUAAAAUACCUUGACACCUAAGCCUAAACACCUAAGAUCCAUAUCUAUGGCGUGUGGCUUGAAACCCAUCAAAAGGAAUUCAGCCGCAUGCCAUGAGUUGGAAUCUAGGUAGACUCCUUCUCGGGUACCAACAUCAGCAUGAAGUUCGGAAGACUCCUCAAAUAUCAUAUGAUCUCCAAAUUUCAUGUUCUUAUAGUCAUUGGAAAUCUACGGAUGUCUACUUUCCAACAAAAUUUGAAUCAACUUAAUCAGACUUCUGUAGCU
RNAcentral lists this long non-coding RNA (4622 nucleotides) under Phoenix dactylifera (date palm). RNAcentral's name for it is "long non-coding RNA (PDAC_LNC010831)". Lineage: Eukaryota; Viridiplantae; Streptophyta; Magnoliopsida; Arecales; Arecaceae. The record is from RNAcentral.